GAUGAACGCUGGCGGCGUGCUUAACACAUGCAAGUCGAACGAAGCACUCUAUUUGAUUUCUUCGGAAUGAUUAUUUUGUGACUGAGUGGCGGACGGGUGAGUAACGCGUGGGUAACCUGCCUCAUACAGGGGGAUAACAGUUGGAAACGACUGCUAAUACCGCAUAAGCGCACAGGACCGCAUGGUCUGGUGUGAAAAACUCCGGUGGUAUGAGAUGGACCCGNGUCUGAUUAGCUAGUUGGUGGGUAACGGCCGUACCAAGGCGACGAUCAGUAGCCGACCUGAGAGGGUGACCGGCCACAUUGGGACUGAGACACGGCCCAAAACUCCUACGGGAGCAGCA
Molecule: ribosomal RNA, 343 nt
Filed under: uncultured bacterium
Lineage: Bacteria
Description: bacterial SSU rRNA
Rfam family: Bacterial small subunit ribosomal RNA
Source: RNAcentral